AUCACUUCUCGGCCUUUUGCCUGAGAUCAAGGGUAGUAUCUGUUCUUAUCAGUUCAAAAUGGCUUCUAGAAAGAAUUAUUUCAAAAAAGUUUAAUCUAUGUGUUUGUUUUGUAGAAACAGAGAAGAAUCCACCCUUUCCUUAAGAGAUUAUCUGCAUUUUCACUUCCACUUUUCCACAUUGUUAGCAGCUGCAGACAAGUUUAAUUCANN
Cavia aperea (Brazilian guinea pig) is the source of this 210-nucleotide small nuclear RNA. Its record names the gene U2. It matches the Rfam family "U2 spliceosomal RNA". From Rfam's summary of the family: U2 is a small nuclear RNA (snRNA) component of the spliceosome (involved in pre-mRNA splicing). Complementary binding between U2 snRNA (in an area lying towards the 5' end but 3' to hairpin I) and the branchpoint sequence (BPS) of the intron results the bulging out of an unpaired adenosine, on the BPS, which initiates a nucleophilic attack at the intronic 5' splice site, thus starting the first of two transesterification reactions that mediate splicing. The record is from Ensembl. Lineage: Eukaryota; Metazoa; Chordata; Mammalia; Rodentia; Caviidae.